CUGAUUAGCUAGUUGGUGAGGUAAAAGCCCACCAAGGCGACGAUCAGUAGCCGGCCUGAGAGGGUGAACGGCCACAUUGGGACUGAGACACGGCCCAGACUCCUACGGGAGGCAGCAGUGGGGGAUAUUGCACAAUGGGGGAAACCCUGAUGCAGCGACGCCGCGUGAGUGAAGAAGUAUUUCGGUAUGUAAAGCUCUAUCAGCAGGGAAGAAAAAAAGUCCACAGGACUUUGGACGGUACCUGACUAAGAAGCCCCGGCUAACUACGUGCCAGCAGCCGCGGUAAUACGUAGGGGGCAAGCGUUAUCCGGAUUUACUGGGUGUAAAGGGAGCGUAGACGGCUGUGCAAGUCUGAAGUGAAAUGCCGGGGCCCAACCCCGGAACUGCUUUGGAAACUGUACAGCUAGAGUGCAGGAGGGGUGAGCGGAAUUCCUAGUGUAGCGGUGAAAUGCGUAGAUAUUAGGAGGAACACCGGUGGCGAAGGCGGCUCACUGGACUGUAACUGACGUUGAGGCUCGAAAGCGUGGGGA
Molecule: ribosomal RNA, 530 nt
Filed under: uncultured bacterium
Lineage: Bacteria
Description: bacterial SSU rRNA
Rfam family: Bacterial small subunit ribosomal RNA
Source: RNAcentral